GAGACCAUUUUUGGUGGUCUCAUAAACUAAAAAUUUAAGUUGAUAUUAAAAAUGGUUUAAAUGAUGAUUAUUCAUUACAAUGACCUAAAUGAUAAUUAUAAGACUUGUUUCAAAAGUUCACAUUGUUAUUUGGUUAUUAUUACACUUGGUGUGCUUUUUAUGACCUUUACAAAUAUGGUCUUGUAAACCAUGAUGUGUAUGUGUGAUCUUUGAACAGCGCCUCUGUAGGCGGAACUUGGUACUGCACUUCUAUACACACUCGCGCCAAAUCUUACACAAUUUCGCGCCAUAAAUUCAAUCGCGGGAAAACGUCCCUCAUGAAGACUGUGGACGUGACAGUCGCGCUUCAAGCAGCGAAACUCACAUCAAACAAUGAAUGAAUGGUGGUAAGAGUCAAAGCAGAGGAUUAAAUCAUUUGAAAGAUGCUUCUCAUCAUGUGAGGUUGGGGAAGGAUAAAGACAUGCUUACGUGGAGGUACAUCAGUGACAUCAAAGAGUGUGUCAUGUGGAGGAGUUGACCUUCUCUCCUGUAACAAACAUGAAAAAGCAAAGUCUCUUCAUGAGCCAUUAUCUUUGAAUUCUGAACAGAGUGAGCUUCAAAGAGGUUUGUCUAUAUAAUUGUCUUCUAAAUGUUGAUCUGAAGAGAUAUUUUCUUAUUGUUCCUGUAUCUGUGCAGUUAUUUUUAUAUAAUAAUACAUUUAAUAUGGGUGUAGCGAUACAUUAUUAUAUUGAGAAUCGCAAUAUAACAAUUCAAAGUUUUUUCUUUAGAUUAGCCUCUAUUCACACGGUGAGUAUUAUGCGUAAGAUUAAACGCUUACACAGUGGCAGUAUAAACUACUGUUGUUAAAUGAUGAAAAUAAUGCAAGUUGAAAUCUGAUGAUGACAAAUGCCUGAUUAUACCAGUGAAAAUGAUCUAUUUGCAUGUGGACCAUAAGAGAGUGCAAGCAUACAUCUAACACUCAUCUUCAGAAUUUUGAAUUUGUAUUCUGAUG
Non-coding RNA from Danio rerio (zebrafish), 991 nucleotides. NCBI's taxonomy places the organism in Eukaryota, Metazoa, Chordata, Actinopteri, Cypriniformes, Danionidae. The record is from RefSeq and is a predicted model, not a curated record.